CCUACGGGAGGCAGCAGUGAGGAAUAUUGGUCAAUGGACGAGAGUCUGAACCAGCCAAGUAGCGUGAAGGAUGACUGCCCUAUGGGUUGUAAACUUCUUUUAUAUGGGAAUAAAAUGUUCCACGUGUGGCUUUUUGCAUGUACCAUAUGAAUAAGGAUCGGCUAACUCCGUGCCAGCAGCCGCGGUAAUACGGAGGAUCCGAGCGUUAUCCGGAUUUAUUGGGUUUAAAGGGAGCGUAGGUGGAUUGUUAAGUCAGUUGUGAAAGUUUGCGGCUCAACCGUAAAAUUGCAGUUGAAACUGGCAGUCUUGAGUACAGUAGAGGUAGGCGGAAUUCGUGGUGUAGCGGUGAAAUGCUUAGAUAUCACGAAGAACUCCGAUUGCGAAGGCAGCUUACUGUACUGUAACUGACACUGAGGCUCGAAAGUGUGGGUAUCGAACAGGAUUAGAUACCCUGGUAGUC
Molecule: ribosomal RNA, 460 nt
Filed under: uncultured bacterium
Lineage: Bacteria
Description: partial 16S ribosomal RNA
Rfam family: Bacterial small subunit ribosomal RNA
Source: RNAcentral